CUCCCCCCACCCAAACUCCCUCCCAGAGCCUUAGGCAGGUGUGGGGUGGAGUUUGGGGGCAGGCAGGCUCUGGGCAUUCUGGGCACCACCAAAAUUUCUACAAACCUGCUGCCCCUGACUGUUGCUGCCUGUGAGAAGCCAUCCCCCAAUGUCCCACACUGACAUGAAAUCAGUGCAAGCGCUUCUGGUGAGGACGUGCACCACCGACAGGAGCAUAGUGUGCAUGUGCAAAAGGAUUUAAUUACUUCAGUGGCUGUAUGUUGACGUAACUUAGGUCGACUUAAUUUUGUAGUGUAAACUUGCCCUACAGAAAGGCUGUCAGUAUUCCAGCUAGUUGCCAAGUUAGAAAUUCAAUGCUGUGUUCUCCUCUUCUCUACUUGAGCAGACUGGCACUCGGGUCUCAUGGUCAGCCAGUGCAGGUGCAUGCACGACUUUCAACCUGGCUGGCUGUGUGGGUUGCCUGGGGCCCAAUAAAGCAGGGGAAUCUCUCCCUUUUUUGAACUGCUGUGUUGACAACAUUGAGCCGCUUGGAUCCAGCCUGCUGGGCAACUAUUGCGUAUUCCAUCACGGAGGCAUUUAGACCCUAACUCUUUUUGAGACACACUUUAUGUAACUGUGAGAGCACAGAAGGUUCUCUGCUCCAAAGCUCUUCAGUCAUGCCAUUCUUUGUUUGAUUUAUAACAUUACAUUGGGGGGAGGGGCGGUCCCACUCAAGUUCUGAUUCAGGUUCAUUAAAGGGAAUCGAAAUAUAGCUCUUUAAAAUGCCUUAUUUUUCCUUGGGUAUUUUGUCCAAACAAGUGUUAGCCCAGAGCUUGGAAGGAUAAGAGAUUCCUACAUCUGCUGUCACUAAAACAGGACCCGAGUGCUGUUGCAGCUAAACAAAGUGCAAAGUGAAAUUAAGUGUUGGCACUUAAAUGCCCAGCUUUGCUGGUCUCUGGGGCAGCAAUUAGUCCUGAUCUACCUUCAGUAAAUGCAUUUGUGUAGAAGCCUCAUACACAGACACUACAGAAUAGCAGAGCUAAACGGGGGAAUAUUGGGAAUACACCCCAAAACACCUAGUCAUUUUUAGGACAGCUAAUUUUAAAAGCAAACUACUGUCUCUUACACAGUUCCUUUAGUGACAACACUUAAUCUGAGCACUGUCCUGGCUUUCUAUUUUCCCACCAGAGGAUUUUAAUGUCAUUCUACUGUAAAUGCUGUUGAAUGUAAUUCUUUGGAACAAUAUAUUGUGUGAUCCCUCUUCUCCUACACAGUAAUAAAACUUGGAUUCAGGAGUUUUAAAAUGCA
Long non-coding RNA from Dermochelys coriacea (leatherback sea turtle), 1287 nucleotides. RefSeq lists it as uncharacterized. The record is from RefSeq and is a predicted model, not a curated record. Lineage: Eukaryota; Metazoa; Chordata; Testudines; Dermochelyidae. The transcript has 2 exons.